This 72-nucleotide transfer RNA is filed under the name Camelus bactrianus (Bactrian camel). It matches the Rfam family "tRNA". Rfam says of the family: Transfer RNA (tRNA) molecules are approximately 80 nucleotides in length. Their secondary structure includes four short double-helical elements and three loops (D, anti-codon, and T loops). Lineage: Eukaryota; Metazoa; Chordata; Mammalia; Artiodactyla; Camelidae. RNAcentral also lists the same sequence under 1 other name. The record is from Rfam by way of RNAcentral.
GAGGGUGUAGCUCAGUGGUAGAGCAUGUACUCAGCAUGCACAAGGUCCUGGGUUCGAUCCUCAGUAUCUCCA